RNAcentral lists this ribosomal RNA (425 nucleotides) under uncultured prokaryote. Its description in RNAcentral is "bacterial SSU rRNA". It matches the Rfam family "Bacterial small subunit ribosomal RNA", at positions 355 to 796 of the family's 1533-position model. The record is from RNAcentral.
UAACGAAUCUUCCGCAAUGCGCGAAAGCGUGACGGAGCAAUGCCGCGUGCAGGAUGAAGCUUCUCGGAGUGUAAACUGCUGUCAGGGUUUAGCAACACAAUGAGCAGACCCAAAGGAAGGGCCGGCUAACUUCGUGCCAGCAGCCGCGGUAAUACGAAGGGCCCGAGCGUUGCGCGGAAUCAUUGGGCUUAAAGCGUACGUAGGCGGACACAUAGGCGCUUUGUGAAAUCCCUCGGCUCAACCGAGGAACUGCUUGGCGAACCAUGUGUCUUGAGGCAAGUAGGGGCUGUCGGAACGAUAGGUGGAGUGGUGAAAUGCGUUGAUAUCUAUCGGAACGCCGAAGGAGAAAUCAGGCAGCUGGGCUUGUUCUGACGCUGAGGUACGAAAGCGUGGGGAGCGAACGGGAUUAGAUACCCCCGUAGUCC